UUAUCAGAGAGUUUGAUCCUGGCUCAGGAUGAACGCUGGCGGCGUGCUUAACACAUGCAAGUCGAACGGGGAACCUUUUAUUGAAGCUUCGGCAGAUUUAGAUUGUUUCUAGUGGCGGACGGGUGAGUAACGCGUGGGUAACCUGCCUUAUACAGGGGGAUAACAGUCAGAAAUGACUGCUAAUACCGCAUAAGCGCACAGAGCUGCAUGGC
RNAcentral lists this ribosomal RNA (212 nucleotides) under Blautia massiliensis (ex Durand et al. 2017). RNAcentral describes it as "partial 16S ribosomal RNA". It matches the Rfam family "Bacterial small subunit ribosomal RNA", at positions 1 to 194 of the family's 1533-position model. Lineage: Bacteria; Bacillati; Bacillota; Clostridia; Lachnospirales; Lachnospiraceae. The record is from RNAcentral.